RNAcentral lists this ribosomal RNA (165 nucleotides) under uncultured bacterium. RNAcentral describes it as "partial 16S ribosomal RNA". It matches the Rfam family "Bacterial small subunit ribosomal RNA", at positions 354 to 511 of the family's 1533-position model. The record is from RNAcentral.
GUAGGGAAUCUUCCACAAUGGGCGAAAGCCUGAUGGAGCAACGCCGCGUGUGUGAUGAAGGGUUUCGGCUCGUAAAACACUGUUGUAAGAGAAGAAUGACAUUGAGAGUAACUGUUCAAUGUGUGACGGUAUCUUACCAGAAAGGAACGGCUAAAUACGUGCUAG